This 511-nucleotide ribosomal RNA is filed under the name Leuciscus aspius. Its description in RNAcentral is "Aspius aspius partial 16S ribosomal RNA". It matches the Rfam family "Bacterial large subunit ribosomal RNA", at positions 1856 to 2565 of the family's 2925-position model. The record is from RNAcentral. Lineage: Eukaryota; Metazoa; Chordata; Actinopteri; Cypriniformes; Leuciscidae.
AGCCUGCCCAGUGACUACGGGUUCAACGGCCGCGGUAUUUUGACCGUGCAAAGGUAGCGCAAUCACUUGUCUCUUAAAUAGAGACCUGUAUGAAUGGCUAGACGAGGGCUUAACUGUCUCCCCCCUCCGGUCAGUGAAAUUGAUCUAUCCGUGCAGAAGCGGGUGUAAUUAUACAAGACGAGAAGACCCUUUGGAGCUUAAGGUACAAAGUUCAACCACGUUAAACGACUCCGCACAAAGCAAGAACUUAGUGGAAAAUGAAAUUUUACCUUCGGUUGGGGCGACCACGGAGGAGAAAAGAGCCUCCGAGUGGAUUGGGCUAAAUCCCCAAAGCCAAGAGAUACAUCUAUAAGCCGCAGAACAUCUGACCAAAAAUGAUCCGGCUGAAAAGCCGAUCAACGAACCAAGUUACCCUAGGGAUAACAGCGCAAUCCUCUCCCAGAGUCCAUAUCGACGAGGGGGUUUACGACCUCGAUGUUGGAUCAGGACAUCCUAAUGGUGCAGCCGCUAU